GAGUUUGAUCGUGGCUCAGGGUAAACGCUGGCGGCGUGCCUAAAACAUGCAAGUCGAACGGGCAGUCUUCGGAUUGUCAGUGGCAGACGGCUGAGUAACGCGUGGGUGACGUACCUAUCGGUGGGGAAUAACUGCCCGAAAGGGUGGCUAAUACCGCAUACGUCCACUGCUGCAUUGCAGUGGGGAAAACCUUGUAAAAGGUGCCGAUGGAGCGGCCCGCGUCCGAUUAGCUAGUUGGUGGGGUAACGGCCUACCAAGGCGACGAUCGGUAGCUGGUCUCAGAGGAUGAUCAGCCAGACUGGGACUGAGACACGGCCCAGACUCCUACGGGAGGCAGCAGUUAGGAAUUUUUGGGCAAUGGGCGCAAGCCUGACCCAGCAACGCCGCGUGGGUGACGAAGGCCUUC
RNAcentral lists this ribosomal RNA (406 nucleotides) under uncultured bacterium. RNAcentral's name for it is "bacterial SSU rRNA". It matches the Rfam family "Bacterial small subunit ribosomal RNA", at positions 9 to 419 of the family's 1533-position model. The record is from RNAcentral.